RNAcentral lists this ribosomal RNA (253 nucleotides) under uncultured bacterium. Its description in RNAcentral is "partial 16S ribosomal RNA". It matches the Rfam family "Bacterial small subunit ribosomal RNA", at positions 524 to 776 of the family's 1533-position model. The record is from RNAcentral.
UACGGAGGGUGCAAGCGUUGCUCGGAAUUACUGGGCGUAAAGGGCGUGUAGGCGGUUUCGUAUGUCUGGCGUGAAAGCCCCGGGCUCACCUCGGGAAGUGCGUCGGAAACUGCGAGACUAGAGUCCCGGAGAGGGAGGUGGAAUUCCAGGUGUAGCGGUGAGAUGCGUAGAUAUCUGGAAGAACACCGGUGGCGAAAGCGGCCUCCUGGACGGUGACUGACGCUGAGACGCGAAAGCGUGGGGAGCAAACAGG